AACGCACGAGACCUGCGGACCUGCGGAAGGAUCAUUACCGAGUUUACAAAACUCCCAAACCCUUUGUGAACCUUACCUAUCGUUGCUUCGGCGGGAACGCCCCGGCGCCCUCGCGGCCCGGAACCAGGCGCCCGCCGGAGGCCCCAAACCCUCAUGUCGUUAGUGGUUUCCUCCUCUGAGUGACAUAAACAAAUAAAGUAAAAACUUUUAACAAUGGAUCUCUAGAUCGGAAGAGCACAC
Molecule: unclassified non-coding RNA, 240 nt
Filed under: soil metagenome
Description: partial contains 5.8S ribosomal RNA, internal transcribed spacer 2, and large subunit ribosomal RNA
Source: RNAcentral